CACCGCCCGUCACACUAAGGGAGCUGGCCAUACCCAAAGUCGUUACCUUAACCGUAAGGAGGGGGAUGUCGAGGGAAGAGCUAGUGACUGGAGUAAGUCGUAACAAGGUAGUCGUAUACUGAAAGGUGCGGCUG
Molecule: non-coding RNA, 134 nt
Filed under: Capsicum annuum
Lineage: Eukaryota; Viridiplantae; Streptophyta; Magnoliopsida; Solanales; Solanaceae
Description: Bacterial small subunit ribosomal RNA
Rfam family: Bacterial small subunit ribosomal RNA
Source: Rfam by way of RNAcentral